RNAcentral lists this ribosomal RNA (582 nucleotides) under Jannaschia sp. ZJ1002B19. RNAcentral describes it as "bacterial SSU rRNA". It matches the Rfam family "Bacterial small subunit ribosomal RNA", at positions 316 to 916 of the family's 1533-position model. Lineage: Bacteria; Pseudomonadati; Pseudomonadota; Alphaproteobacteria; Rhodobacterales; Roseobacteraceae. The record is from RNAcentral.
GGGGCCCGGCAGGUCGACGAUUCCUACGGGAGGCAGCAGUGGGGAAUCUUGGACAAUGGGCGCAAGCCUGAUCCAGCCAUGCCGCGUGAGUGAUGAAGGCCUUAGGGUCGUAAAGCUCUUUCGCCAGAGAUGAUAAUGACAGUAUCUGGUAAAGAAACCCCGGCUAACUCCGUGCCAGCAGCCGCGGUAAUACGGAGGGGGUUAGCGUUGUUCGGAAUUACUGGGCGUAAAGCGUACGUAGGCGGAUUAGUCAGUCAGAGGUGAAAUCCCAGGGCUCAACCCUGGAACUGCCUUUGAUACUGCUAGUCUUGAGUUCGAGAGAGGUGAGUGGAAUUCCAAGUGUAGAGGUGAAAUUCGUAGAUAUUUGGAGGAACACCAGUGGCGAAGGCGGCUCACUGGCUCGAUACUGACGCUGAGGUACGAAAGUGUGGGGAGCAAACAGGAUUAGAUACCCUGGUAGUCCACACCGUAAACGAUGAAUGCCAGUCGUCGGGCAGUAUACUGUUCGGUGACACACCUAACGGAUUAAGCAUUCCGCCUGGGGAGUACGGUCGCAAGAUUAAAACUCAAAGGAAUUGACGG